This 492-nucleotide ribosomal RNA is filed under the name uncultured bacterium. RNAcentral describes it as "partial 16S ribosomal RNA". It matches the Rfam family "Bacterial small subunit ribosomal RNA", at positions 29 to 507 of the family's 1533-position model. The record is from RNAcentral.
AGUGAACGCUGGCGGUAGGCCUAACACAUGCAAGUCGAACGGCAGCACAGUAAGAGCUUGCUCUUACGGGUGGCGAGUGGCGGACGGGUGAGGAAUACAUCGGAAUCUACUUUUUCGUGGGGGAUAACGUAGGGAAACUUACGCUAAUACCGCAUACGACCUACGGGUGAAAGCAGGGGAUCUUCGGACCUUGCGCGAUUGAAUGAGCCGAUGUCGGAUUAGCUAGUUGGCGGGGUAAAGGCCCACCAAGGCGACGAUCCGUAGCUGGUCUGAGAGGAUGAUCAGCCACACUGGAACUGAGACACGGUCCAGACUCCUACGGGAGGCAGCAGUGGGGAAUAUUGGACAAUGGGCGCAAGCCUGAUCCAGCCAUACCGCGUGCGUGAAGAAGGCCUUCGGGUUGUAAAGCCAUUUUGUUGGGAAAGAAAAGCAGCAGGUUAAUACCCCGCUGUUCUGACGGUACCCAAAGAAUAAGCACCGGCUAACUUCGUG